UGCGUAGGCGGAAUGGCAAGUCGGAGGUGAAAGCCCCCAGCUUAACUGGGGAAGUGCCCUCGAUACUGCUGUUCUCGAGAGAGGUAGGGCGUGUGGAACUUCCGGUGGAGCGGUGAAAUGCGUAGAUAUCGGAAGGAACGCCGGUGGCGAAAGCGAUGCGCUGGACCUUUUCUGACGCUGAGGCACGAAAGCUAGGGGAGCGAACG
Molecule: ribosomal RNA, 206 nt
Filed under: uncultured bacterium
Lineage: Bacteria
Description: partial 16S ribosomal RNA
Rfam family: Bacterial small subunit ribosomal RNA
Source: RNAcentral